This is a small nuclear RNA of Mastomys coucha (southern multimammate mouse), 103 nucleotides long. NCBI's taxonomy places the organism in Eukaryota, Metazoa, Chordata, Mammalia, Rodentia, Muridae. The record is from RefSeq and is a predicted model, not a curated record.
AUGCUUAUUUUGGUAGCACGAAUACUAAAUACUAUACAGAAAAGAUCAACAUGGCCCCUGUGUGAGGAUGACAACACAAAUUCAUGAAGCAUUCCAUAGUUUA